UUGGGCUGGUUGUUGAUGCUGAUUCUGAAAUCUUGGGGGAUAAGAUGGUCGUGGAGCUUGCUGAUGUUGAUUAUUGCUCCAUGAAAAAUUAGGAUGAUUCAUAUUCCCCGGAUUGUAUUCAUUCUGGUAUAUAUUCUGUGGAAUCGUGUUGUAGCUACCCACAAAUUGCACUGAUGCUGGGUUGCUUGCACAUUGUUCUGUAUGAUGUUCAC
Molecule: long non-coding RNA, 212 nt
Filed under: Panax ginseng (ginseng)
Lineage: Eukaryota; Viridiplantae; Streptophyta; Magnoliopsida; Apiales; Araliaceae
Description: long non-coding RNA (PGIN_LNC007644)
Source: RNAcentral